UACGAAGGGUGCAAGCGUUACUCGGAAUUACUGGGCGUAAAGCGUGCGUAGGUGGUGAGUUAAGUCUGUCGUGAAAGCCCCGGGCUCAACCUGGGAAUGGCGAUGGAUACUGUCUCGCUAGAGUGCGGUAGAGGAGAGUGGAAUUCCCGGUGUAGCAGUGAAAUGCGUAGAGAUCGGGAGGAACAUCAGUUGCGAAGGCGGCUCUCUGGACCAGCACUGACACUGAGGCACGAAAGCGUGGGGAGCAAACAGG
Molecule: ribosomal RNA, 253 nt
Filed under: uncultured bacterium
Lineage: Bacteria
Description: partial 16S ribosomal RNA
Rfam family: Bacterial small subunit ribosomal RNA
Source: RNAcentral